UGUGAUCGACUACGUCGACGACGACCCUCCUUCUUGUCUGAGCAACCAGGCAAGCCUCCCCUUUGAUCAUCCCGAUAUCUCCCAUUCUAUACUCUCAUGCUUGCAUUAGAUUUUGCUACUGUUAUUGAUUGCUUCUAUUCUGAUGCAUAGCCUACUUUUGUAAAUGUUGUUGUACCUUACCUGCUUAUCCUAAACUGCUUAGUAUAGGUUGGCUAGUGAUCCAUCCGUGACCCGCAUUUGUCCUUGUUGCCCCUUCUUCAUCAUCGACGCCUCGAUCGACGUGAUCGACGACCAAAGCCCGACACCUCACAUCACAUCACGCCCAUUUAGUUGCUCGACUCUUUAGAGCUACUAUCGAAUGCCGAGGGUGAUCCCUCAUAACGCACUCCUGAUGAUAAUUCUGUAGUGUAGCUAUUCGGUCAUGGUCAUCGAGGGUGAUUUCCUCUUUCACCAUUCCCGAAAAGGCUCUGUCGUUCAACACCUCAAGUGUGAACCUCGAGGGUGGUCCCUCUUAUGUUCACCUUGAAGAUUACAUUGAGUGGAAUACACCAGGGGUGAUUCCUCGGGUUUUCCCCUUGAUGUUUGGACACACAGUUACCUUGACUUUACUUGAGACCUUGGUGAAAGUCGGGCGGGCCCGGAGAGCACCCGCAAGAUAAUGACGUGGCACGGCGGGGCAUUCUAGGCCCUUGUCGUAAGUCCACGAGACGGGGCGACGGGGUCACUUUCGAUCGUGAGUCUCUGCUCAUCUCCGCAAGCUAAUAAAACACUAUUGUUUGGGUAUUUGUUCUGAGUUGGCCUCUGGCCUUUACGCACUAACCACCACGCGAGAAGAGAUAUGGGCCUCGACGUCGCAGUAUCAGCCGAAGCUUUGUCAGACGUCCAGUUCAGCAUUGCGGCAUGGCCCGGUCGGCGCCCUAGUGGAGGUGGCCUGUAUCGCCCUGCACAUAAUGACCCGGAGUGCACCGAGCGAUGGGCCCAGACCCCGGAGUGCUUAGAAUGUAGACCGGCUGGGACCUCUCUGUUGAGCCUAGGUAGGGUCGCGACGUGUUGAUCUUCCGAGGUCGGGCAUUAACCCCAGAAAGGUGUGUCCGGCCAGAGUGAUCGAGCGUGUUGGGUAAUGUGGUGCACCCCUACAGGGAAGUUAUAUAUUCGAAUAUCGUGUCCAUGCUAAUGGACAUUCAGACUUAUAUCCUGAUCUUAUACAACUACAAAUGGAUACUUAAGAUAUGUGGCUCCGGGAUUGUUUUCUCGCAGGGAGUCGAGGAAGGAUCUCUGGGCAUUAAUGUUACAACAUGUUUGUUAAAUAUUAAACUGGUAUUCUUUACUCUUCUACAUGUGGCAAGAUGCUCGGAGCUGCGUGAAGAUGCUAGUCUUUGAUACGCUAGGCCUUCCCCCUUUAUUCUGGCAUUCUGCAGUUCAGUCCAUAGAUACAAACCUUCCAUUUGAUACCAAUGCAUACUCAGUAUAGAUCUGAUGCUCGCGAGUACUUUGGAUGAGUACUCACGGUUGCUUUGCUACCCCUUUUCCCCCUUCUUUCUCCUUUUCGGUUGAUGCAACCAGAUGGUGGAUCCCUGGAGCCAGAUGCCAUCGCUGACUGAUACUGCUACAUGGAUGCUGCCGAAGACCAGGAGUAGUUAGGAUGUCCCAGGCAGGAGGCCUUGCCUCUUCGAUCGUGUUGCUUUUGUGCUAGCCUUCUUAAGGCAUCUUUGUUUAACUUAUGUCUGUCCUUAGAUAUUGUUGCUUCCGCAGACUCUUGUGUAUUGAGCUAUGUAUUCGAGCCUUCGAGGCCCCUGGCUUGUAAUAUGAAGCUUGUAUUAUUUUAUUUGUGUCUAGAGUUGUGUUGUGAUAUCUUCCCGUGAGUCCCUGAUCUUGAUCGUACAUAUUUGCGUGUAUGAUUAGUGUACGAUUGAAUCGGGGGCGUCACAGCUGUACUAAAUACAUGAGAAACAAAUAGAAUUGCUAUAUUUCCAAGUUGUUAAGCAUGCUUGAUUUCCAAGUUGUUAAGCAUGCUUCGUUUGGUUAACUGUUUAAUCUUCU
This 2040-nucleotide long non-coding RNA is filed under the name Triticum aestivum (bread wheat). RNAcentral's name for it is "long non-coding RNA (TAES_LNC003097)". The record is from RNAcentral. Lineage: Eukaryota; Viridiplantae; Streptophyta; Magnoliopsida; Poales; Poaceae.